This is a non-coding RNA of Otolemur garnettii (small-eared galago), 75 nucleotides long. NCBI's taxonomy places the organism in Eukaryota, Metazoa, Chordata, Mammalia, Primates, Galagidae. The record is from Rfam.
GAGCCUGUGGCUCAAAGGAGUAGGGCACUGGCCUCAUAUGCCAGAGGUGGUGGGUUUAAACCCAGCCCUGGCCCA